Long non-coding RNA from Brassica oleracea var. oleracea, 3262 nucleotides. RefSeq lists it as uncharacterized. NCBI's taxonomy places the organism in Eukaryota, Viridiplantae, Streptophyta, Magnoliopsida, Brassicales, Brassicaceae. The transcript has 3 exons. The record is from RefSeq and is a predicted model, not a curated record.
CUCAUCUUCCCCGCCGACUCAGAAAAAACUCACCUUCUCGUCUCACUUGCGCUGCCUCCUCCUCUUUCACCACCAUUUGGACAUUUCGUUUUUCAGAGGCAGAUAGUAAAAGAACAGGCCUUUGUGACACAGCUAGCUUAUCCACAUUAGAGUACAUUGGGUGGGCAAUGGCAAGGCAAAGAUGCUUCCUUUUUGCACUCUAAUGAGCAUGGAAACAGAGAAGUUGGUAGGAAUUGGGACACUAGUGGUCUUGAAGGCUCAGCUCUCAAUAUGGUUGAAGGUGACCGCAGCUCUAGGAACUGGCGGAAAAAGGUAAAUAAUUAGGGAAAGAGUGGAGCUCUCGCCGUAGCUCAGUCCAGGAAACUCGAGGUAUGUAUUUGCAUUGAUUAGUGAUUAGGAACCCUUAAAUAAGAACUAGCAUUGGAGCACAAACUCUAGGUGUCUCUUAACAAAAGUUCUUAUCAACAUUUAAUUACUAAAAUAAUCACUAAGAGACUCUGAUGAGUUUGUGGGUUAAAUCAUGAUGCUCUAAAUGCAGGGACCAUGGUUAAAUUAAGCGUAUUACACAUAUUUUGAGGGAUAUAUUCUCGAUUUGCGAUUUCUACUAUACAUUUAUUGUUAAGACGAAUUUUUUAAUCUUUCCUGAACUUGAAAAAGCAGAUGAAUAUGGGUUUGACCAAAAAAAGGGUUUGAGUUUAAUACUACCUAUUAUUAUUUAUUACUAGUACUAUACUAAAUAGAUUAAUUAACAUCAAUCUCGAUUUGAUACAGCUGAAUCUUUUGCAAGGGCUAAGUAGUUAGCGUAAGACAGCUGAAUAAGAUUGUCCUAUCUCUUGACUUAUAAGUUCUUGUGAUCCUAGAAAACAAUUUGUUAGUGCACGUGUGAAAAAUGAAAAUAUAUAACGCAUGCAUGGAUUAUACGGAUAAAGUUUACACUAUAAGACGUAAGACUUAUAGUGUACCUUAUAUUACCAAAAGUUUUAUAAAAAAUUGGUACUGGAUUAAAACCUAACUUGUUCGUUUAUCCUGUGAAGAAGAAAUAGAUAUUCUACAUUAGUCGGAAGGGUUUCAAAUCUGAAAAUCAAAAACGUAACUAGGCCCAAGAUAAUAAAUGGGCCUUCAUAUUAAGGACUGAACAUUUGUGUCAAGUGUAAAGUAUCCUUACGUUUAUCAUCAUUUUAGCUAGAUAAUAACGAACUAAUGAAGUCAUGACAGUAACCCAAAUCUAAUGAUUCAAACUAUUUGUAAUAAACAAUCUAUCGCCAUACAAUCAACAAGAGCUCGAAAAACAACAAAUUAGAAAAUGCCACAUGUAUUUUACGAUAUAAAAAAAUCGAAAACAGAGUAAUCAGGUGAAAGAAAGAAGCAGCUGCUUCAGCGUCGAAAGCGACUCUUUCUCUCCAUAGUGAGAGCAUAUAUGCAGAGCCGUUGCUUCUUCUUAUUACUCACGCGCGGUUUCUGAAACUUGGAUCAUCGUCAUCGAUUUAUUCAUCCAAAGUAACCUUAUUCGAAUCUCUUUUGUUUCUCUAAGCUCUCUCUGUCGAUCUUCACUUAAUUUCUCUUGUUUUCUCGUAUAAAAUUUUAAAUUUUAUAAGAUCAGUCAAGAACCAAUCUGGUCUAAUCAUGCAUCGUGAUUCAAUUGGCAAAACACACUACUCUAUGUUCCUCUAUAUCUGUGAUUCUGACUUUCUUUUGAUGAAUGAACUUCACAGUUUAAGACAAAACAUGAAACUGGAUUCAGACAAGAAGUUGUUAUGGAUCACGAUAUUUUUUGUCAAACCUAUAGAGCUUUUACUCUGAUUUCUAAUUCUCGCUGAUAAAUCAUCUAUAGAGCUUUUACUCUAAUUUCUAAUCAAGUUUAGUUUUUUUGGAGUUAACCAAUCUGGGGGAUAAAAUUUACAAUUUAUGAAAUGGCGAGAUCUUUGGAAAUAAUGAAUUCUGAUAGAUUUGAGUUUGUGUACGAUGAAGGUAAUUAAUGUUUAACUAAUGUUCUUUAAUAAUUUAAAUGGCUUUCAUCAAAUUCUUGACUAAUAAAUGAAUACAUCUAGCUGAUUCUUUAACAAAACAAAAAUGUCAAACUGAUGAUGGCUACAGACACUAUCAAACAAUGAGCCUGAGUUAUAAGAAUCAAAUUAUGAAGGAGAUUUUGACCAUUGGAGAAUUCGAUCCACAUAAUUUUUUGAUUAAUUGUUUGGUUGAUUGCAUAUGAGAUAUUAUCUCAGAUUUAAUAUAGAUAUAUUCUCUAAACUGCUAAUUCUUGUGUAUGUUGCAUCAAAUCCAUUAAUUAGCCGAUCACAAGUUUAUAACUUAUCAAUCUACAAUAAUGAGACCAAUCCACACUACAUCUAGAUUGCUCAACAAUAAUCUAGACCUAGAGGUGGUAGAGUCUACAUGUAAUUCUUGCAAACAGAUAACUACUUGAUUCUUACCAAUAAUCUUGUUCAGUUAUUGGACAAAAGAAAUUGUUAAAUUAAAAGCAUUUUGACUAAAAAAGAGAGCAUAUGCUUACACUGAUUUAGGUGUGUAAUGUAUAUAUUUCAGUCAUCUUUUAACAUAAGUUGUUUUCUUUAUAUUUAAGCAUUAUGGAGCAGAAUAAUUUUGUGGAAUCAAUCAUGACUCAUCUAUACUACAACAUACAUGUAAUCGAUUUACAAACAUAAUAUUUUUUCAACUUCUUUUCUAAACAAAAUUUUGUCAAGAUUGUUUAUCUGUUUUAUGUUAAAGACACGAAACUAUACGAAAUAUGCUUCAUUUAGACAUAAAUGUUUCUAUUUACUCCUUAAGGUUUGCAUAUCUCCUAAAAGAAUCCCCUUACUAUUUAAAUUCCAGAUUAGGUCACAAAGAUUCUUAUUUGAUUUGACCAAAGACAAAAGAGAUGGUCUAAUUAAAAAAAUUGUGGCUCAUAUUAGUUGCAGAAUAUUAAACACAUUUACGAAAUGUACUUAGUUUUCGUAUAAACUGUUUCCAUCUAAAAGUUAGUUUAGAAUUAAAUAUCUUACGGUUGAAACUUGAAACUCCAUGCAAGAAGGACCACUAAUUUUUAGAAAUGAAGAUAGGGUUUAAACAGCAACAAGAAAUGUUGAUAGGUGUUCUUUGUGAGAAAAUUACAACUCAGUGGCGUAUUUGCGAAUUAUCUACUUUAUUAAAAUAGAAGUAAUAACCUAAGACUUACAACUUAAUUACAAUACAAUGCCAUUGAAGUAAUCAAUAAACUUAAAUCUAAAUUAUUUUUUUUCCUAAAUUUAUUCCACAACAAAUUCAU